RNAcentral lists this ribosomal RNA (443 nucleotides) under uncultured bacterium. RNAcentral describes it as "partial 16S ribosomal RNA". It matches the Rfam family "Bacterial small subunit ribosomal RNA", at positions 338 to 795 of the family's 1533-position model. The record is from RNAcentral.
UCUACGGGUGGCAGCAGUGGGGAAUAUUGGGCAAUGGGCGCAAGCCUGACCCAGCAACGCCGCGUGAAGGAAGAAGGCUUUCGGGUUGUAAACUUCUUUUCGCAGGGACGAAGCAAGUGACGGUACCUGAGGAAUAAGCCACGGCUAACUACGUGCCAGCAGCCGCGGUAAUACGUAGGUGGCAAGCGUUAUCCGGAUUGCAUGGGGGUAAAGGGCGUGUAGGUGGGAAAGCAAGUCAGAUUUGAAAACCAUGGGCUCACCCCGUGGCCUGCAUUUGAAACUGUUUUUCUUGAGUACUGGAGAGGCAGACGGAAUUCCUGGUGUAGCGGUGAAAUGCGUAGAUAUUAGGAUGAACCCCGGUGGCGAAGGCGGUCUGCUGGACAGCAACUGACGCUGAGGCGCGAAAGCGUGGGGAGCAAACAGGAUUAGAUACCCUUGUAGUC